Molecule: ribosomal RNA, 936 nt
Filed under: Ololygon sp. KAV12
Lineage: Eukaryota; Metazoa; Chordata; Amphibia; Anura; Hylidae
Description: partial 16S large subunit ribosomal RNA
Rfam family: Bacterial large subunit ribosomal RNA (bases 166-936)
Source: RNAcentral
GCUAAAAAUCUAGCCCGUAAAAUCCGCAUGAAUUUACCUACUUUUUACAUCUAACCAAAACAUUUUAACACUUUAGUAGAGGAGAUUGAAAAAUUAAUUGGAGCAAUAAAAACAGUACCGCAAGGGAAAGAUGAAAUAAGCAUGAAAUUAACCUAAAGCACAAAAAAGUAGAGAUUCCCCCUUGUACCUUUUGCAUCAUGGUUUAACUAGUCUAAUCAAGCAUAAAGAAUUAUAGUCUGACCCCCCGAAACUAAGCGAGCUACUUCGGGGCAGUUUUAAGAACUAACCCGUCUCUGUUGCAAAAGAGUGGGAUGACCCCCAAGUAGAGGUGACAGACCUAACGAGCUUAGUGAUAGCUGGUUACUCAAGAAAAGGAUUUUAGUCCAACCUAAAGCUUUUACUAUAAACAAAAAUUUUCAUCAAGCUUUUAGAGCAAUUCAAAUAAGGUACAGCCUAUUUGAAACAGGAUACAACCUCAACUGAUGGGUAACAUAACUUGGCAAUAAAUUAAGUGGGCCUAAAAGCAGCCACCUUUAAAAAGGCGUCAAAGCCUAAUUAGAUUAUUUAAACUAAUCCCCCUAUUCCCCUCUAACCCUCUAAUAAUAUUGAGUAAUUCUAUAUUCCUAUAGAACCUAUAAUGUUAAAACUAGUAACAAGAAGCUAAACCUUCUCUUAGAUGUAUGUAUAAAUCUCUAAAGGAUAAACCACUGAUAAUUAACGUAUAUGAGCCCAUAUUAGUAACUCCCCAAGAAAAUCCUAAUUUUUCCCACGUUAAACUGACACAAGAACAUCUCAAGAAAGAUUAAAAGAAAAAGAAGGAACUCGGCAAAUCUUAACCCCGCCUGUUUACCAAAAACAUCGCCUUUUGUCCAAAAAAUAUGAGGUCCAGCCUGCCCAGUGACCAUGGUUCAACGGCCGCGGUAUCCUAACCGUGCA